RNAcentral lists this long non-coding RNA (354 nucleotides) under Anolis carolinensis (green anole). Its description in RNAcentral is "lncRNA (ENSACAG00000039279.1)". Lineage: Eukaryota; Metazoa; Chordata; Lepidosauria; Squamata; Anolidae. The record is from RNAcentral.
GACAACACAACACAAAAGCCUUUUCUUCCGGUGCAAUCAACACAACUACACCACAAAACCACAAUCCGGACCCACAAAACUCACAACAAUGCAUCGUGACUAUAACAACACAACUAAACGCCCCAGAAAUACGAAACUUGGCAACACAACACAAAACCACAAUCCGGACCCACAAAACUCACAACAAUGCAUCGUGACUAUAACAACACAACUAAACGCCCCAGAAAUACAAAACUCACAACAAUGCAUCGUGACUAUAACAACACAACUAAACGCCCCAGAAAUACGAAACUUGGCAACACAACACAAAAGCAUUCCCUCCCGAUUGUAACAACACAACCACACCACAAAACC